RNAcentral lists this long non-coding RNA (214 nucleotides) under Brassica rapa (field mustard). RNAcentral's name for it is "long non-coding RNA (BRAP_LNC003627)". The record is from RNAcentral. Lineage: Eukaryota; Viridiplantae; Streptophyta; Magnoliopsida; Brassicales; Brassicaceae.
ACAUCUCCAUAUUCCAAUCACACCUUGAGACAUCGAUCUUCACAAGUCACCAUCACAGCCCUUGUAGUUGAUGUCAAUGGAGCCUCAUGUUGCUGUCGUGUUGGUGAUUUACAAUGGAACUUAGAGGAUUAGAUAUGGAGAAGAGACGCAAGUAAUGGAGCCACCGCGUCAUGACACUUCCGGUGCCGAUCUACAUUUUAACCAACCGUUAGCC